AGAGUUUGAUCCUGGCUCAGAACUAACGCUGGCGGCGUGGCUUAGGCAUGCAGGUCGAACGAUCCCCGCAAGGGGAGAGUGGCGUAAGGGUGAGUAACGCAUGGGUGAUCUACCCUCGGAACUGGGAUAACCCCGCGAAAGCGGGGCUAAUACCGGAUGAUAUCGAAGCGGCGCAUGUCGCUUCGAUCAAAGACGGCCUCUAUUUAUAAGCUGUCGUCUGUUGAUGAGCCCGUGUUCUAUCAGCUUGUUGGUGAGGUAAUGGCUCACCAAGGCAAUGACGGAUAGCCGGUCUGAGAGGAUGUACGGCCACACUGGGACUGAGACACUGCCCAGACUCCUACGGGAGGCUGCAGUCGAAAUCUUUUGCAAUGGGCGAAAGCCUGACAAAGCAACGCCGCGUGAGUGAUGAAGGUCUUCGGAUUGUAAAGCUCUGUCACCUGGGACGAAACCGUUCGGUGCUGACAUCGCCGGACAUUGACGGUACCAGGGGAGGAAGCCCCGGCUAACUUCGUGCCAGCAGCCGCGGUAAUACGAAGGGGGCAAGCGUUGUUCGGAAUCACUGGGCGUAAAGGGUGCGUGGGUGGUUAUGUAAGUCGGAUGUGAAAUCCCCUGGCUUAACCAGGGAUCUGCAUUCGAAACUGCAUAGCUUGAGUACGGGGGAAGAGAGUGGAAUUCUCAGUGUAGCGGUGAAAUGCGUAGAUAUUGAGAAGAACACCUGUGGCGAAAGCGGCUCUCUACCUUGAUACUGACACUGAGGCACGAAAGCUAGGGUAGCAAACGGGAUUAGAUACCCCGGUAGUCCUAGCCGUAAACGAUGUACACUGGGUGUAGGAGGUAUCAACCCCUCCUGUGCCGAAGCUAACGCAUUAAGUGUACCGCCUGGGGAGUACGGCCGCAAGGCUAAAACUCAAAGGAAUUGACGGGGGCCCGCACAAGCGGUGGAGCAUGUGGUUUAAUUCGACGCAACCCGUAGAACCUUACCAGGGCUUGACAUGUACAUGAAAUCCUUGUGAAAGCAGGGACCUCCUUCGGGACAUGUACACAGGUGUUGCAUGGCUGUCGUCAGCUCGUGUCGUGAGAUGUUGGGUUAAGUCCCGCAACGAGCGCAACCCUUUUCCAUAGUUACCAUCAUUCAGUUGGGGACUCUAUGGAUACUGCCUCGGUUAACGAGGAGGAAGGUGAGGAUGACGUCAAGUCAUUAUGGCU
This 1206-nucleotide ribosomal RNA is filed under the name metagenome. Its description in RNAcentral is "bacterial SSU rRNA". It matches the Rfam family "Bacterial small subunit ribosomal RNA", at positions 8 to 1200 of the family's 1533-position model. The record is from RNAcentral.